Molecule: transfer RNA, 80 nt
Filed under: Lactococcus garvieae
Lineage: Bacteria; Bacillati; Bacillota; Bacilli; Lactobacillales; Streptococcaceae
Description: tRNA-Leu
Rfam family: tRNA
About the family: Transfer RNA (tRNA) molecules are approximately 80 nucleotides in length. Their secondary structure includes four short double-helical elements and three loops (D, anti-codon, and T loops).
Source: RNAcentral
GAGAGUGUGGCGAAAUUGGUAAACGCUGCGGACUUAAAAUCCGUUGCUUAGGCUUGUAGGUUCGAAUCCUAUCACUUUCA